This 22-nucleotide ribosomal RNA is filed under the name Beta vulgaris subsp. maritima. The record is from RNAcentral. Lineage: Eukaryota; Viridiplantae; Streptophyta; Magnoliopsida; Caryophyllales; Amaranthaceae.
GGGUGCGAUCAUUCCAGCACUA